Molecule: RNA transcript, 6194 nt
Organism: Nematostella vectensis (starlet sea anemone)
Lineage: Eukaryota; Metazoa; Cnidaria; Anthozoa; Actiniaria; Edwardsiidae
Exons: 3
Source: RefSeq, a predicted model, not a curated record
AUGGAUCGUUGGAAGAUUCUCUUCAACUAUGUGUCGCAGUUUGCUCUUAUGAUAUUUGUGUUCAGUUUGGCUUUUUAUCUCUACGUUGGAAAUGUCCUACCAGACUUACGUGGCGAGAAACCAGAAAGACCUCUCAUUGAGAAAUGUAAUUUGGACUGCGACGCUGGCUUCGGGGAAUCUGCGAAGAAUGAGUUCCAGUGGCAUUUUAGAGAAAAGGCUAGAUUCUACAUACUCUUCGUGCAAAUAAAGGGACAGAAUUUCAGCUCCAAACAUUCAGCAGAUGACGACAAUUUAGACCCUCAUAAUUUCGUGUGGGUGGAAAACGAGGGAGAACCGUUCUUAUCCUUAGACUUGGGCUAUAAUGUCUACUCCAUGACAACCCUGUCACGAGUCGUUCACCACAUGAGAAAUGCCACAGUUCCCUAUGAACUCCAAUACUGCUUGAAUAACUCAACUGAUGACUGCCUAACCGCAAAUUUAGCCAAGAACUUUCUUCGCAACGUCACGGACAGAAAAGGUGCGAUGUGCUACUCUGUAUAUUAUGAUAACUCACUCACGUACCGAUGCUGUAAGUGGGAACCGAACUCUGAAAAACUCAUCAAAUGUGACAUCCCAGUCGUCCGAGAGGAAUGGAUGUUUGUUCUCUUGAUUUCCAUGACUAUCGCCUCAGGAAUCGCAAUUUUAUAUUUCCCUGCAAUUGUUAAUAUCUUACCCGAAGAAGCAGACCCAGAAAUGCUGAAUCCAAAUACCCAAAUGAAUGUUUUGUAUCAGGGAAUAGUUUACACCAUACAAGGGGUGUACCCCACCGGUCGAUACUGGGCAGACGUUGCGAGAAAGUUGUUUAUAACGCUAUUGGUGUUUCCGUCGCUUUUUGGGCUCCACUUAUUUAUCCUGUGGUACGUCAAGGAGUAUAACAUGCCAGCGAUGUUUACUAGCCACGAUGUUAGUGAGAAAUGGAAGACAAACCAACGAUACCCUCAAGGACUUCGGGACUCGGCCGGCUGGAUUGUGUUAUCUGUGAUCGUGUCUUUUCUUCCACAUAUUAGCACUUUCCAGAUCCCCGCGGAUAAUCACAAAUACCGCAGUCGCGCUUGCUACCUGAACACUCUUAUGGAAAAGGAAAAGCGACGAAAGAAAAAUUGGCGUAUCCCGUUUAACCUCACGAUUGCCAUAACCAAGAUUCCAGUACUUGCUUCAGGGCUGGCUUUCCGUCAGGGAUCCUGGUUGAAGGCUUUUGCCUUUUUGCCUUUGGCUAUUCUUAACGUUUUCUUGUCUCCUAUCCUGUUCUGUGUAUUCCUUAUCGGUUAUAUCCUACACGUGUCCCCUCUUGGUGAGGCAACAACUCUUUCAUUCUUCCACUUCUGCCUUAUCGUGAACUGGAUAGCGUAUUACACGUCACGGCAGCGUCAAAGGCGUCUUCUGCACAUCAUUGGCAUUAUUUGCCUUAUUAUCUGCUGUGUGGCGUUCGGUUUGGGAGUUGCGGGCUUGUCUGAGAUCAUUUGUAUCUCUUUGGUACUUCUAACAAAGUUUAUCGCUUACACUCUGAUGGGGUUGGUUUUGAGCGCUGAGUACUAUUCGCAUGUUUUAUUAUUUAUAUUCACUUUUGCGUUUUAUGUCUGGCACUGUUUCUGUUCAGUGACCGCGAAAUAUCAACAACUUUUAAAAUUAACGUUUGAUCACAGCAAAGAAAAAGAUGGAAAUAAAGACUUCAUCUAUACUCUGAACGAGAAAGGUGUUCCUAGAAUUCCAAUAAAACUCUUUCAAAAUGUUUGCGACGAGAUUCUCCCACGCAACGAGGCUUAUGGAAAAAUGGUUCUGAAACUCGCUGGAAUAUUGUUAUUUCUAUGUGUAACAUUCUCAUCUGUCAUGCUGUUCUCGCGGAAAGCUGGUCUAAAUUCAGCAAUAACUGCCACCUUCUCAUUGAUUACUGGAAUCAUCCCGAAACUAGCGAUGUUUAUCAGCCAAGGAAGUUCCGCGAAGGACUUGCACGAUUUUGCCUUGUCCUCACGCGUUGAGAAAGUUGUGCAGGCGUAUCUAGAUGAAGGUCGGGAUGUUGGGAAACCAGAUAAAUUAAGUCGUCCAUUAAAUGAGUCGAUGAAGUUGGAGCAAUUGGAAGCCACGACGAAGUGGAAACAAAUCACUAACGACUCACAAGAGACUCGUGUCUAGCUUUUGUGAGAGAACUAGAAACAUACACGCAUCAUAGACCAUAUGUCCAUUCGGGUUUUUAACUCGUGAAUGCUUUAAGCAUUUACGAGUUAUUGGAGGGACUUCUGUGUCACUCGAUCGUCAGAUAGUUGGAUCGAUCAUCCGUAAGCUUUUUGUGGUCUUUCUGUGCUUUCGCAACACAGCAGUUUUUAGAACUUCCUGUAAACUUCCGAUGACCAACUUCCGGUUAAAGCUUAUGCUGUGUUUACACUUGAGCGUCCAACCUAGGUUGAGUAACUACGAAACCAAGGUUAGAUUUAUGGUGUGUGUGAACACGCUCCAAAUAGCCACUUAGGUUCGGUUGAGCUCAACCAUUCCAGGAGGCAUGGUUGAGCGAACUCAACCGAGGUUACAGGCAAAUCUGUUGACAGUUCUUGUCAGCUAUCGCAUUCCGAUGUCAGUCAUUUCUCAAAAAGUUUUUACUUAAUAGUCGUGAGAUCACCACAUGUUUUUGAGAUCCGCGCAUUUUACUGGACAUUUUACACAAUCUUUUACAAAAAACUAGUUUCCAAGUCAAGGUACUAGCGCAAACAAUAAAAACAAAAACGACAAACAUCAGGCAACGUGAUCCCAAAAAGAUCAUCUUGAAUUAUAGCGAAUCUUGUAAGCGGAAGCCACCACAGAAUAACAAGAACGGCCAGAAAAAUCUCAAUAAUCGCAGCAGCAAUUUGACCUCAGAAUUCAAAUUGAUAACACCGGCGCUGAUCAACCGAGGUUAAGUUUUCAAGUGUAAACGCAUUUCUCCUAACCGGGGUUCAGUUAACCACAAACUGAACCUAGGUUGACGCUCAAAGUGUAAACACAGCAUUAGUACUAUAAGAGAGCCUUGUCAUCGACGUGUGACCGCUAUGGUCAUUACGUGUUAUAGCCGUAGAGUAUAUAUAAGCUAGUUUUUACAGAAAAGUCUUCGAUGUGGGUUAAGCGUGCGCAUGCGCCUUCGUCACUGACGUCAAUCGAUCUUCUACGGUUCAGUCCAAUUCAAGUUGUUAGUUUACAAAACAAGUAAAAUGCUAGCAAAGCUUUUAAUUCUCCUUCUUCUAGUACUUGAAGAUUCGCAUCUCUGGGUUUUCCUCGUAUAUUUUUGGAAUUUGUGCUGAAAGAGUGAUUUUGUGCUAAAAAAGCGGAUAGCCAAAGCUGCGACUUUUAAAGUCAGAGAAACACAAGGGAAAAGCCUCUGUUAGCAGGGCCUUUCUUUGCAGGGUAAUAAAAGAAAGCCUCUGUUUGCAGGUUAAGAAAAAUAGUAUGGACUUUCAUAAGUUGUUUUUUCCAUAAUUAUUUUUUAUAAGUGCUAAAUAUCAAACAAAACUCGUUCAAACUCGCUUAUCCAUCAAGAAACGAUCAAUAACGAUUUUGCGAAUUUCUAGAAUGUUGACAUCGUUAAAAUGACUGUAGCUUAAUUAAUUAUGUCGGGUAUUUAACUUCUGUUUCCGGGGAGAAAAGGGCGAAAUUUGACAUGCUAGCAAAAGCAGGUCGAACGGUGAGAUACCCAUUAGGGUAAAAACUAAUUUUAAUCAAAGGUUACUUCGGCAAUGCCUCGGUGGUAUAGUGGUUCUGCGCUUGUCUAAGGCAUCAGAGACCGGAGGUUCGAUCCCUACUUGUGACAUCUAAUUUUUUUUUCUUUUUCUUUUUUUUUACUUUUUAUGAUAAUAAUAAAUAAUCAAACUGUUCUUGGUGUUACAUCACAUCGAAAAGAAAGGACAUUAGAAUCUACUUCCAGCAUCUUGGAUGUGUUAAUCCUUUGUUCAAAAUUCAUCCUGUAUAUGUUUUAUGCACACAAGAAAGUAACCUGAAAAACAAAUUUGCAUUCACGAUUUGUCUCACAGAGCCCUUUGAUUUCCAUUCGAGUAACAUUAAGGCGCUCGUAUCUACGAACAUUACACUAUAAAGACAAUUACGAAUACCAUCUAAAUUAAGAUACCAGGCUCUUUAUUUUGCACUUGAUGGUUUCGUAUCCGCCUUCUGCACUGAUUCUCGAAGGUUAUUCCAGGCACAGGCACGAGUUGCCUGGACCCGAAAAGAAUUCAGACCAAAAGUGGUUGUGUGAACCUUAGUACUUUGAGAUUAUUAUAGCCCCCUGGGAAACAAUAGUUGACUAUUUGCUCUUGUUUACUUUGUUGACCUUGAAAUUGACAGUACUCGUAAGUUAUCACUCAGUAGAAACAGGGUAAUGGACCAUCUCAUUACAGCUGCCCGUAAUAGCGCACGCAACACAAGUGAAAGUGCCGGUCGUUUUCCUGGGAAUCCUGUGGGGUUUGUGCGUGAAAGCGAGGCCUUGGAAGGUCAGAGCCUGUUAACAUUUUAAAAACAGCCAUAUUUUGUUUAAUUGAAUCGUGGCUCUCGGGUAAACAACAAAAACACCGCGUUUUUUAAACUGUAAAAUAUGUUAUCUUUUAUGGACCUUGUGUGAGCCAUCCGAAAGCCUCGUCUCCAUGCGCUCGCCUCAGUUCGUCCCCGUGUUUCUCCUUUACUUUUGUAUUUCAAUCAUUUUUUUUUUAACAUUUAUUAACUAUUCUAUUUUUUAUUUUCUUUAUUCUUCUGCUCGAAUCAUACCUGUUUCCUUUGUUAUCAAAUAUUUCUCAGGCAACAGCCAAACUAGGCAAAUAUUCGAUGAAUCAUUUGUCUUACGGGCAUGGAUCUGCAAUAACUCAGAAUUUUUUUGCCUCAAAAUAUUUUUUGUCUAAAAAAUGUGUCUAAAUCGGUGAUGAAUUCUAGAUAUAGUAUUUGUGAUUGAAUUGUUGCCUAGUUUUAGCCAGCGUUAUGGGAAAUCUAUCAAAACAACCAAAGUAUGACAUUUAAAAAAAGCAUUUCAAACCAAAACAACCCUAAAGCUAAUCAUAAAAUCACGAUCUUGUCAAUUCUAGCAAUUAAGAUAAUUCAUCAAAUUUAUUAUGGGAUUUAUGUGUGCAGAUAUACGAUCGUUCGCGGAAAAUUCCUAUUUUUAGUACGGCCUACACGAUCAUUUAUGAAAUAAGAAGAAAAUGCGAGUUCUAUUUUUUCUGAAGUAUUUAGCCAAAUGUAAACUUAGCAGUAUUAUUAUCUAUGUUAUCAAUGACUUCAACUCCAAGAAAUCGUACGUGGUUUGAGGUAUUUAUUUUUCCGUUUCAAAAGUUUUUAAAGUUUUCUUUUUGAUUUAAUUCUAUAGCAGUAAUUUAAUAAUAUAUUUUCGAGAUGGUCAGUUCUAAUGAUUAUUAUCUCAAACUUGAAAUGUUGUUUUUGAAUAUAUAGUUUUCUUGAAAGCUACUGAUGCUUUUGACCUCCAACUGUUUGCUGAGUCUGAUUAGAAAGACAUAUCCCCCGUUGCAGCUAUUACAUUGGAAAAUUCCUUUUCCCCUAUAACAGGCUCUUUAAUCUGAAUUGAAAUGUGCUAAUAGAGGAUUGACGCCAUUAUGUUUAAGAUCGUAUCACGUUUGCUCAACUGCUAAAGUACUGCCAUUGGCUUUCGCAGAAUGCGCAUUGUGAUUCGUCCUUUUCGAUGCUGACGUCAUUAGAUAGUCUAUCGAUGUUCCAACCAGCCAAAUAUUGACUCCGAUGUCUCGGAUUCGUGUCGCAAAUUUGCAUAUCUCAAUUAGUAUUUUUAAUUUAUUUGCAUGAAGAUUUGUUGUUUAAAUUUUAUGUUCCGUGUAUUGCGGAAUUGCUAAUCGAAUUCGGUGAAAUCCUAUGUGCCUACAUUUUUGGAUCAUCGUCUGUCUUAAUGAAAAUUGAUUGAGGAGUUAUGCGUUGUCUCGCAUAUCCGGCAUUGCUAAGGGCGUAAAAAGAUUCUUCAGAACACGGCGAGCCUACAUAAUGGCCAAAAAGUCUGAGGAACGCAAGCUACUGUCCAGUCAAAUGGACAGUGUGGAUUCUGACGCAACUGAAGAAAUACACGAGACACAAAGGCUGAAUGGCAACGACAAGGCCUCGAAAACAGAAAGGAAAUCCGCACUGUUCUCGUCUAUUCAAGAUGUGUUCACCUAUGCCCGGACAGGGAUCCAAGGAUUCUUUGAUAA